RNAcentral lists this ribosomal RNA (233 nucleotides) under uncultured fungus. RNAcentral describes it as "partial 28S large subunit ribosomal RNA". It matches the Rfam family "Eukaryotic large subunit ribosomal RNA", at positions 1 to 228 of the family's 3401-position model. The record is from RNAcentral. Lineage: Eukaryota; Fungi.
UAUCUGAAAUCAAGCAGGACCACCCGCUGAACUUAAGCAUAUCACUAAGCGGAGGAGAAGAAAUUAACUAAGAUUGCCUCAGNAACGGCGAGUGAAGCGGCAAAAGCCCAAAAUGUAAAUCCUGUGCACUACGUGUACACGGANUUGUAAUCUAUAGAGAGUUCACUCACCGCAGNGGUGGCGCAGAAGUGACCACGAACGGNUCCGCCAAAGAGGGNGACAGCCCCGUGAUG